CCCUGGGAUGUACGAGCGAACUGUGACAAUGAACUCCUUAGGGAAGACUUUCUCCCUAACCGGCUGGAAGAUCGGGUGGGCCAUAGCACCCCCUCACCUGACAUGGGGAGUGAGACAAGCACAUUCGUUUCUCACUUUUGCUACCUCCACACCAAUGCAAUUUGCAGGUGCGACGGCCCUUUCAACCUCAGAUACCUACUAUGAGGAGCUUAAGAGGGAUUACAUGGCAAAGAAGGAGAUAUUGGUAGAGGGUUUGAAAGCUGUGGGUUUUAUUGUAUAUCCAUCAAGUGGUACGUACUUUGUGGUGGUAGAUCACACUCCUUUUGGGCAGAAAGAUGAUGUUUCGUUCUGUGAGUAUUUGAUUAAGGAAGUUGGGGUGGUAGCCAUUCCAACAAGCGUGUUUUACUUGAACAAGGAAGAUGGAAAGAAUCUUGUAAGGUUUACAUUUUGCAAAGAUGAGGGGACUCUCCGAAGUGCAGUUGAGAGGAUGAAAGAGAAGCUGUCAAGGAAGAAGUGAUUUCGCUAUUUUUAUUUUAAAAUACGUUUUGGCUUCUAAAUACUAUGUAAACCAAACAUGCACUAGCCACCCAGAUGGAUGGUUCUGAUAUCAAAAAUCUCACUAAGCUCAAACUUUAACUUGUAUAUGUUUUCUUAUGGAAUUGAUAUUUUCAAAAAUAAGUUUGAUAUUUCUACAAGAUAUCCUUCCAUUAGUGUGGAAAGUGGAAACCAUUACUAUUCAUGUUAAGAGAGAGCUUGCAGAACUAUUACUCUUUUUUUUUUUUUUUUGCGAAAAUAUCAAUUAUCUUUUCUAAUCCAAAACACCAAGUUAAUUAUAUCAAUUUUUACUUAGAAACUGGAGUUCUUGACAUACAAUGACAGGUAGUUGUCCAAAGUGGUUGACAUGACAAUCCCUCUAUAUAAUGUCUAUCUCUAUUUUAAACUCUUUUGGUUGUCCUAAUUUUUUCUCUAUGUUAAUUACACAAUAUUAUUAUACUAGAUAUGUCCUGUGUCUCCGGCAUUAUCUGGACGGUGAGAUUUAUUCCAAACUUUGGACGGUCCAGAUGAUUUAUUAGGAUGAACGAGAAAUUCAAAAUAAAUUGUAUUUUGUUAAAUAGAUGAAUAUAAAUAUGUGCACAAAGGCUUGAACAAAGAUUAAAAAUAAUUCUUUUUAUUUUCAUAUAGGGCCUGUAUCUCCAAGACUACCUAUCUAGCCUGUGAAGUGUGAAUUAUGGGGCUGGGCUCAGGGAAUAUUGCCAGGUCUCCAACUCCUUUCAUUGGGAGUUGGGGUCAGCUUCUGCCUUCUGCUACUUCUCUAAAGAAUAGUUUUCUACUAUGUCUAAACUCUUUCAGACAUUAUUACCCUUGCUCAUUUAUGGGAGUGGUUAGCAUAAGCCGAAGUGGAGUUGGCUGCUUGCCUCCGAGUAUUCUAAGAUUUGUAGGUUGUAGCUACCUUUCUAUCUUCUUUUUAGUUUUCUUGAGGUUUCCGUAACUAAUUGGGGGAGGUGCUGUACCGGUCGUUAACCGGUACAGUGUUAUUUAUUUUUAAUUUUUUUUUAUCAUAAUUAUAAGAAUAAUAAAUAAAAAAUAAUAUAGCAAAAUAUACUUUCUUUUACAGUUUUUUGUUCAAACUUGCUCUAUUAUUUUUUAUUUAUUAUUCAUAAUUAAUAAUUAUGGUAAAAAAAAAAUUUAAAAAAAUAAAAAAAAUAACACAUGUACCGGUCGUUAGUCCGGUACAAUGUGUACCGGGCGCACCCCCAACCCGUUUGGGUAUGUGUGUUGGUCCUUGUGGUUGAAUCCUGGACUUUAUAUUUACUCUUUUUCUUCUUAAUAAUGAUGUUUUGAAUUUCAUAGUAAAGAUGAAACCACACGGGCAGUGGCGAAGCUACGUGUUGACAGUGGCGAAGCCACGUCAAUUUUGUGGGGUCAAUUGACAUUUGACGCUAUUGAAAAAAAAAUUAUUUUAUAAUGUAAGGUAAAUUUUAAAAAUUUUAAAUAAUAUAUAUAAAUUGACCCCACUAAAAUUUUAUAAAUUUUUUAUUAUAUGGGGUCAAAUUGAAAAUUUAUAACUUUGUCAAUCAAAUUUUAAUCAUAUAUGACUCAUAUCCUUUCAAUAUAUGUAUUUAUCUAUAAUAUUUUAAACUAAAUAAUAAUCUAAUUUAUAUUAUUUUUAAAAAUAAAUAAUAAAUUACUUACUUAUGAACAGUUGUAAUUAAAAAAGUCUAUUAUGAGUCAAUAUAGUGUAUAUAUAUCAUAUAUUGUUACUCAUUAUAUUUUCAUUGUAAUAUAAUAUAUAUAUAUAUAUAUAUAUAUAUAUAUAUACACCUGAAAGUAUAAAGUAUUAAAAAAUUGUCUCGGGGGCGUUGUCCCCGAACCCUCGCCAAUUUUUUUUAUAAUUUAGUAAUAAUUUUGACCCCACUACUAAAAACUUUUGGCUUCGCCACUGCAUGUUGAGUAGUGGAGUCAAUUGAGUAAUAAUCCGUGGCAAACGUUUGCCAUAAGCACUGUUCAGCAACCAAGUUUUCAUCCGUCGAUUCAUACAUUUAAUGGCUCAGAUUAAACAAUUUCCCCCUGCCGAUGUAGCGGCAGCCUUAUAAUCCCAAAAUUGCUACUAAGUUACCGAACUGCCCCUCCUUUAUAUAUUUAGCCCCUGCCGGCUGCCGCAUGAGCCUCUAGCGGCAGGCACGUAUAUUUUGUCUUAUUCUUGGGACGCUGUUUGCAUAUAUUUUGUUGCAGAUCAUCAAAAUCUAAAUUAACUAUCCAUGCUGAACAACACUACUCACAUGCAUGCACAUAUCUAUAAGUACUGUUUUAUUUAUUAAUAUAUAUUUUAAUAAGAUCAUUACUAAUUUUUAAAAAUUAAUUUGAAACAUUUAAAAUGAAGAUUAUUUAUUAUAGGUUAUAAAAUAAUAAAAAAAUUUACGAUGAGUAAUAUUUUUUAAAUAAUUAAUUUACGGUAUCUAAUAUUAUUGUAGUGGUUAAACUUACAGAAAUUCAUUCUAAUUAUUUUAAAUUUAAAAAUAUAUUAAAUUAAUUUUUAAAUUUUAAAAAUUAAUUUAAAAUAUAUUAAUAUAUUAAAUUAAUUUAAAAAUUAAUAUAUUAAAUUAUUUUAAAAAUUAAUUUAAUAUAUUUUUAAAUCCAACAUUAUUUUAACCACUACAAUAAUAUUAGAUACCGUAAAUUAAUUAUUUUAAAUAUAUUUAAAAAUCCAACAUUAUUGUAACCACUACAAUAAUAUUAGAUACCGUAAAUUAAUUAUUUAAAUUUAAUAUUAGAUACCGUAAACUUACAGAAAUUCAUUCUAAUUAUUUUAAAUUUAAAAAUAUAUUAAAUUAAUUUUUAAAAUAAUGUUGGAUUUUUAAAUAUAUUUAAAAUUAUUUUAAAAAUUAAUUUAGUAUAUUUUUAAAUUUAAAAUAAUUAGAAUGAAUUUCUGUAAGUUUAACCACUACAAUAAUAUUAGAUACCGUAAAUUAAUUAUUUAAAAAAUAUUACUCAUGUGACGCCCCCAAAAUUAGGUAUACAUCACCCAUCUUGAGUCGUCAGAUACAUGGUACAGAAUUCAAAUACAACUUAAUAAUACAACUGUCGUGUACAAUACGAUAAAACAUAAACUGUGAGUUUGAAUACAAAUAUUGUCUACUAGAGANNNNNNNNNNNNNNNNNNNNNNNNNNNNNNNNNNNNNNNNNNNNNNNNNNNNNNNNNNNNNNNNNNNNNNNNNNNNNNNNNNNNNNNNNNNNNNNNNNNNNNNNNNNNNNNNNNNNNNNNNNNNNNNNNNNNNNNNNNNNNNNNNNNNNNNNNNNNNNNNNNNNNNNNNNNNNNNNNNNNNNNNNNNNNNNNNNNNNCCCACCCCACCCCCACCCAAAAAAAAUAAUAUUAUACGAUUAUGUAUAUCUCAUAGCAUUACUUAAGGAGCCUAAAUUCCACACUUAUAUUCGUCUCUCUAUCUAUAGUAUAUAUUAAUUUCAUUUUUUUAAAUUUUUGUUUAAAAGUCAAAACAUCUUAAAAUGAUUAAUAUGGGUUUUAACCAUAACCAUAUGGUUCCAACCCACAUAACCCAUAUUAAAAAUGGUUAAUAUGAUUUUAGUUAAAUGGAACCAUAAAUAUAUUUUGAAAACCAAAAACCAACCCAUAACCAUGUUUUGCCAGGCCUAAUUUAGGGCUCAGUUUGCUAGUAAUUAAUUAACUAAAGAUACUUCAUCCAUGUAUUUAACAAUUAGGUUUUGUCCAGCUAUCAUCGUUUGUAUUUACAGCGUUUGGACCUCCAAACAUAACGCACCAAUUUUAAUCCAUUUGAGACUCAAACGUUGUAUUUGUGAAUUAAAUAAGUUGCUAUUAAAAUAACAAAAUUUUUAAGUACGUUUGAACUUGCAAACGCAAUAAACGUUGAGUAACUAAACAUACACUAUAACUACUCGUGUUUACACAAAAAUAAUUGAAGAAGUCAAAUUAUAGUUAUUUGUGUAAAUUUCCUUUCAUUUUAUGUAUGUAAUUUAUAUAUAUAUAUAUUUGCUCUAUCAUCCUCCCACUCUUUUGAUCUAUAGAGAAGGAUUAACAAUGUUCAGUUUCUUUUUCUAAAAUAUGAUCCACUUUUCCUUCCAAAACAGAAAAAACCAAAAAAAUAAAACAAUGAUAUUAUGAAGUCAAUUUCCCUUUAAAUCUCCGUUUGGAACUUGCGAAAUGUGGAAGAAAAUGAAGAAAAAAAUAAAUGUAAAAAAGUAAAAAAUAUCUCAACAAAGAUAAAUCUAACCAUCUACACUUUUGAGGAUAGAGAAAGUAACUAAUUAUUCAUUUUUAUUUGAACACGUAUAUAUUUUUAGAGUACGUAUUGAGUAUCAAUUUGAAUAUAUAACAAUUAAAUAUAUUUUUUUGAAUCAUGACUAAAAUUUAAACAUAAAACAAGUCCAAUAUAAUUUUAUUAGAUUUUAUUCAUAUUUUAAAUUGUUUUUUAUUUUCAUAAAUUAUUUAUGUGCCUAAAGUUAUUUUGAUGGAUUCAUUAUAUUGUUAGGAGAUGCAUGUACCUAUUAAACAACUUUGAAUUGAUGGGAUCCAGGUUCGGACCACUCAAAUUUUUAUGAGAGUGGUUAGUAUAAAGUUAAUUUUAAUCAAUUAAUUAAUACAAUGUUAUCACAUAAAUUUAGAGAUAUUUCUGUGUAUCGAAACUGUAUUGAUUAAUAGACAAAAUUAACAUAAAGAUAACUUGAUGAUAACCAUAUCCAACUUCUACUCGUCUCUGACUCUCUGUGGCCAAAAUUCGUGGCACACCAGGUAAAGUAAAGAAUUGAGAGUCAUAAUUUGUCUGGUCACUUGCGACUAAUAUUGUUCAAUCAAAUGUAUGUCUAGCAUGUUAGCAUGAUGUUUAUUUUUAAGUAAGUUAGUCAAUUGACCAAUAGAGUGCUGACACGCAGACGAGGUUCUAUGUGUGUCAGAAUUCUAUUGGUCAAUUGACCAACUUACCAAAAAAUAAAUUUCAUGCUAACCGAAUCGGUCUCACAUACACCAGUAGGUCAAUGUACCUAGACAGAAAGAUGAUGUUUAGAGCAUCUUCAGCAAGGUGAUCAUAGAUUAUAUUUAGUCCAUAUGAUAUCAAUCUAUAUGAGAUAUUAUUUUAAUUUUUUCAACAGAUAAUCACUAUAAUAUUAAAAAAAAUUAUUAUUCAUCGAUCAUUCUUCCACUCCCAUUUAAAUAUAUUAAAAAUUUAUAGUUCAUCAAAACUAAGUUACUGGAUAUAGUCUAUUUGUUUUGCCCCAAAAUACCCCAAAUUCUGAGGGUUGGACUAAAUUUAGUCAGGAUUUGAGCAUCUCCUGAGAUGCUCUUAGACAAUUGAGCUUCACAACUACCGUUUUACAUCAUACCCUUUGUCGGAGACGAACCACCGGCUACCCAUCUUCCAUGGCCACAAUUUCGACCCAAUUGGAGACUGCUUUAGCUCAGGAUGAGUCUACCCAGAAGAGCCAUCAACCCGUACAGGCAUCCCCAAUUGUCUUUUUUUAUUUAUUUAUUAAAUUUAUGCUUGAUUUCUUGGCAUUUUCUUGAUGGGUUUGCUCUAUAUUGACAUUGGUUAUGUCCUUUCAUGAUCUAGCUGAGUCUCUUUUGGUAAUUGUAGUUUGAUCUGGAUUUUAGGUCAGGCUCUUUCUCCAUCUGUGUACUUCUACGGGAUGCUUUAUGCCUAAUAUUUACUUUAUUUAAAGGUCUUGUAAUUACACCUAUGGUACUGGUUUAGGAUUUUCCUUUCUUGCUUACGUUUCUUGUGGAUAUCCAUUGCUUUCUAUUACUCAUUUAUACUUAGAAAUUUGAUUUAGCUAGUCGAUGGUAUGCUAAUUUAGGACUUGGAUUGUUUAUUAAAUGGCCUUUUGUAAGCCAUGCGUAUGUACUUGAACCUGCCCAACCGUGCAAAGGUGAAGUUAGUUGAUGAUGACAGACUGACCGGGCCGUUAAUCUGACGAUUCAAGCUUCAAGGGUUCAACAAUUGAUUUCAAGUAAUUGGGCUAAAGUCUAUUCGAGGAUACCUAAAUUGGAGCUCAAUUCAAGUGGAGCGCGAGGGGAAUUUGAAUUAUGUGAUUUGGGAUUGCUAGAAACGAUCUAUUUAGUAAGACCAAAUCAACGCAAACCAAGUUUACAAUUCCGUGUUCAUGUGUGUUGCCUAAUCAUCGACGAAGUUAUGUUUCAAUUCAUGGAGGGAUUAGCGAUCACGCGACGUUGUGGAUGUCCAAGCAUCACAAAGAAUGUACAAUUUAAUACGCAACAACACAAUGUUGCAAUGCACGUAACGAAAGGAAAGGAUUCCAGCUACAAGGCAAGGCGUUCGUUAUGGGAUAAGAUUCUAAGCUCAUUAAUUUGGUUCAAUCAAAGGUUCGAAUUUGGUGGAGGAAAUGAAAAAGGAGCAAAGAAUUACAUUCGAGACUUAAAAACGUCAAAGAAGUGAAAAUGUUCAAAAACAGCAAAGCGGACAGAAAGUCCAGUGCCGCGGCGCUCCAUUCUAGAGCUGCGGCGCUCUAGCGCGUUCCAACGUGUUCUAGACGCGUUUCAGAAAAGUUGGACGCAGAUUUGUGCGAGAUUUUAUUACCUUUUCCAAUUCUAAUGUAAUUAGGAUGAUUUUUAAGCUAGGAUUUCAUUCCAAAUUGAUUUUUUAUUUCCUUAUAGGAUUAGGGUUACUUUUUAUUACUAUAAAUAGGGGCUUGACCGAUGUAAUUCAAAAGAACAACUUUGAUUAAUAAAAUUAUUGUGAGAUUGUUCUCCUUUUGGUUCUUUGAGAACUCUCGAACUGUUCAUGGUUCAUCUGUGAGGUUCAAACUUUGACUUGUCAUACAACAAUUCAUAGUUGUGUGUGACGUCUUUUACCGCAUCAAUCGUCAAUUGUAUCGAGGUUUCUGCUUCUUAUAAGUAUGGGGUUUAGGUGUCGGCGGUGUUUCAUUCAACACAUAUUUCAUUACUUGAUCGAUUAUACCAAGGUUCUCGCAUAUUUAUAGGCGUUGGGUUGAGGUGUCAAGAGAGUUCCACCCUUAUAGCUUGUUAGAAACGAUCCGAGCGACGACCACCUCACGCAAGCAUGCCGUGGAGUCUAUCAUUUGGUAUCAGAGCUAAGUUCCUAGCAAGUUGCGCUGUGGACCUCCAGUGGCGGACAUAAUAAUAUUAAAGCAUUUCUUGUUUCUUGUUUGCAUUUUGGCUGAAAGUUUGUCAGAAUUUUAAGAUAAGUAUCACUAGCUUGAAUAUUUUUGGAGGUAACAGUUUUACCUAGUGGGGGUCUCAAUCACUCAUGACAUGCCCAGGUACUUCAUAAUUCUUGACCACCCCCUUGUCUUCUUUUAUGUGGUGGCCUUCAUGCUGCAUUCAGUUGGAUAACCUAUAACGCUGCUUCAAAGAUAGCCUUCUCUGUCGUAGCACCCUCUGAUUAGAUAUUUUACUGGGCUCCAUGAAGGCUACUUGAGUUAUUUCAGCGUGUUGAGUUCUUAUAUUGCAGUAAAUGCAUUAGUUUUAUGAUUUUACUGCAUUUUCUGUGGAGAUCGGAUUAUUUGUCAACAGGUGUUAUACUUUCUGAAAUUAUCUCAAGUCUGUUUUUUGAAUCUCAUUGUCGUUGUGAGAUUGUUAAAACAUUACUUUAAGCAGCUUAGUUGACCUGUAUUUCGGAAGAGUCCUAUUUAGCUAAGACCAAGAGAUAUGGGAUAUUGUUUGCUUUGUUCAUUGAGAUUCAUAUUGGUCUUCAUCAAUCAUCAUGCUUUGAGUAAAGAGUGGUGAUCAUUCUAUUAGAUAAAAGAGACUGCAGAAAUUGGAGACAAUCUGUUUCUUAAUUAAGGAAAAGCAGUUAAUUGGUUUCACAAAAUCGAUUAGCCUUCAUCUGGUUAUGUCAUAUCUGAAUAGAACAAAGUUGCAAGUUAUUGGAAUCUGAGUGACAGAUAAACACUAUGAAAGAAGAAACUUUGAUUAUACUAGAAAGCCUCAUCAACUUGAAGGUUACUGGAAAUGAUGACUAUAUUUACUCUUCAACUUAAAUAGGAUAUAGUCAUCAUUUCCAGUAACCUUCAACUUAAUGGAUUCUUUUUAUUUUAAAUAUUUGUUGGAAAGUCAACCCUUGUGUCUAUAUGCAAACUUUCCUUCAAUGGCCAUAACUUCUGUAACUGAGGCUUUCCAUUUCAGGUUGCAAAGUGUUUGGAGCAAUUCAAAACGGCAAUAUUCUCGCAGAUGAGUAUGCUUGCCAUCAAACAUGGAGCAAUAAACCUCGGUCAAGGCUUCCCAAGUUUUGAUGGCCCAGAAUUUGUCAAAGAAGCAGCAAUUCAAGCCAUUAAAGAUGGGAAAAAUCAAUAUGCCCGCGGGUAUGGUGUUCCUGAUCUCAACUCAGCAGUCGCAGCACGGUUCAAGAAGGAUGCUGGACUUUCUGUGGACCCAGAAAAGGAAGUUACUGUCACCACUGGCUGCACUGAAGCAAUUGCUGCAACCAUUCUAGGAUUAAUAAAUCCUGAAGAUGAGGUGAUCCUCUUUGCUCCUUUCUAUUAUUCUUAUGAAGCUACUCUGUCUAUGGCCGGUGCCAAGAUAAAGUGCAUCACUUUACGGCCUCCAAAUUUUUCUGUCCCCAUUGAUGAGCUCAGGUCUGCAAUCUCAAAGAAUACUCGUGCAAUCCUCUUAAACACUCCACACAACCCCACGGGAAAGAUGUUCUCUCGGGAAGAACUCAAUACGAUUGCAUCUCUCUGCAUCAAGAAUGAUGUAUUAGUUUUCAGUGAUGAAGUUUAUGACAAGUUAGCUUUCGAAAUGGAUCACAUAUCAAUAGCUUCUCUCCCUGGGAUGUACGAGCGGACUGUGACAAUGAACUCCUUAGGGAAGACUUUCUCCCUAACCGGCUGGAGGAUAGGGUGGGCCAUAGCACCCCCUCACCUGACAUGGGGAGUGAGACAAGCACAUUCGUUUCUCACUUUUGCUACCCCCACACCAAUGCAAUUUGCAGCUGCGACAGCCCUUUCAACCUCAGAUACCUACUAUGAGGAGCUAAAGAGGGAUUACAUGGCGAAGAAGGAGAUAUUGGUAGAGGGUUUGAAAGCUGUGGGUUUUAUUGUAUAUCCAUCAAGUGGUACGUACUUUGUGGUGGUAGAUCCCGCCCCUUUUGGGCAGAAAGAUGAUGUUUCGUUCUGUGAGUAUUUGAGUAAGGAAGUUGGGGUGGUAGGCAUUCCGACAAGCAUGUUUUACUUGAACAAGGAAGAUGGAAAGAAUCUUGUAAGGUUUACAUUUUGCAAAGAUGAGGGGACUCUCCGAAGUGCAGUUGAGAGGAUGAAAGAGAAGCUGUCAAGGAAGUAGUGAUUUAGCUAUUUUUAUUUUAAUUUAUGUGUAUAUUGGUAAAAUUUCUGUUGUAACUUUAAGAUUCUGGGAUUCAAUAAUUUAUUAUUUUCCUUUGUGAGUUCUGAAAAACAAAUGAAUUGGCUAAAGACAGACAUUACUUAGAAAUAAAUUACCUGGAUAUUUG
RNAcentral lists this long non-coding RNA (9947 nucleotides) under Panax ginseng (ginseng). Its description in RNAcentral is "long non-coding RNA (PGIN_LNC016959)". The stretch from base 5348 to 5469 matches the Rfam family "MIR6135 microRNA precursor family". The record is from RNAcentral. Lineage: Eukaryota; Viridiplantae; Streptophyta; Magnoliopsida; Apiales; Araliaceae.